This 141-nucleotide non-coding RNA is filed under the name Leuconostoc pseudomesenteroides. RNAcentral describes it as "FMN sequence". It matches the Rfam family "FMN riboswitch aptamer (RFN element)". Rfam says of the family: The RFN element is a highly conserved domain that is found frequently in the 5'-untranslated regions of prokaryotic mRNAs that encode for flavin mononucleotide (FMN) biosynthesis and transport proteins. This element is a metabolite-dependent riboswitch that directly binds FMN in the absence of proteins. In Bacillus subtilis, the riboswitch most likely controls gene expression by causing premature transcription termination within the 5' untranslated region of the ribDEAHT operon and precluding access to the ribosome-binding site of ypaA mRNA. The record is from RNAcentral. Lineage: Bacteria; Bacillati; Bacillota; Bacilli; Lactobacillales; Lactobacillaceae.
UAUGAACUUCAGGGUCAGGUGUAAAUCCUAACCGGCGGUGAGACAUAGUAUUUUAAAAAUGGUAAGCCCGCGACCUGCGCAAGCAGUUGAUUUGGUCAAAAUCCAAAGCCGACCGUACAGUCGGGUAUAAAGAAGUCUAAA